Molecule: transfer RNA, 60 nt
Filed under: Neoscona adianta
Lineage: Eukaryota; Metazoa; Arthropoda; Arachnida; Araneae; Araneidae
Description: tRNA-Cys
Source: RNAcentral
AGUAAUUUAGUUUAAAAAACCUUAAAUUGCAAGUUUAAAAAUCUUCUUAAGAAAUCAUUA